RNAcentral lists this ribosomal RNA (239 nucleotides) under uncultured bacterium. RNAcentral's name for it is "partial 16S ribosomal RNA". It matches the Rfam family "Bacterial small subunit ribosomal RNA", at positions 118 to 346 of the family's 1533-position model. The record is from RNAcentral.
UGGGUAACCUGCCCGGAUGUGUGGAAUACCUCGGGGAAACUCGAGCUAAUACCGCAUGACAUCUUCGGGACGAAAGUCCUGAUGAUCAAAGCGGGGUCGCAAGAUCUCGCGCUUCCGGAUGGGCCCGCGCCCGAUUAGCUAGUUGGCGAGGUAACGGCUCACCAAGGCGACGAUCGGUAGCCGGCCUGAGNGGUNAUCGGCACAUUGGAACUGAGACACGGUCCAGAUCCCGUACGGGG